RNAcentral lists this long non-coding RNA (425 nucleotides) under Mytilus galloprovincialis (Mediterranean mussel). Lineage: Eukaryota; Metazoa; Mollusca; Bivalvia; Mytilida; Mytilidae. The record is from RNAcentral.
AGCAUCAAUGUGUAGUCUUGAUUGGCUUCAGAUUUUGAUAAAUUGCUUAUUGCCUUUUACAGUGGUGACUUAAAUUAAUUGAAAACAUACAAUUAUAUAUAUAUAUAAAGGAUUCUACCUCUACAAAAACAUAAAUACUGCAUUCCUUGUGUACUGAUGCAUAUUGUUACAAAGUUUCUGUCUGUUCUAUUUCCAUUCUCCCCGACUUCAUUUUCUUGGUUCAGCAACUGCUUAAAACAAAAUUUCAAAAUAAACUCAAUUAUGAACCAUAAAGCAGGUGAGACAUUUAAACGUGUGAUCUCUGGUCUUUCAUAUUUUUAAAGAUCAUCAAGCUUUUUAUAGAGAGAGGGUGUAAAAUUUAUUAUAUAACCAUUCAAUUUGAACAUCUUAAUUCCUGUUAUUUUAAGUCUUUACUAUUUGAUGCC